GGGGGUCAGGGGUGAGAGGUGAGCGGUCACACACCCAGCCUGAGGGCUCCCUGAACCCUGACCCCACAGGACUGAUGAAUAGUGUGCUAACGAGUCCCAGCUCUUUCUUACUGUGUCUGCACUCUCUCUUCUUGUCUUUGACUACUUCUAAUUUUCUUUUUUUUUUCCCCUCCCUUCUUCUUCCUUCCUGCAUUUUGCGGGGAUUAAUCUGCAGGCAGCAGAGCGGUGAUAUGUCUACCUGCUGAACCUUUGAAGCACCUCGCCAUCUGUCGUCUUCUUUGGAUUUAUAAGCAUCAUCAUAUCCCAUUCAAACCAGGCCCUGUUGCACCCUUACAUAACCUAACCCCUAUCUACCGGCACAUGCGAUUUCUCCAGGAUAGAUUGUGCAAAUGAUCAUCGGGUGAGGUGUUAAAUCCUUGCUUGCCAUUGGAUUGCUCUUUUUCUAAUGAGACUCUCCAAUCCUCAUCUCUGUGUGCACGCCAGCCACAAAUCUAAUUAAUAACAGACACAUGCGUGUUUGCAUGCAGACGCAGCCUGACACCUGCUACACGCAUGCACAAAUGGAUUCAGUGCAGAUGGGGACACUGUGCACACAAGCGCUGCAGACACACCCAGGGCCAUUUGCAGAGUCGAAUCAUAAAGCCAAUUAAAGAGAUGAGUCUUAUUAGCAGAGGUCUCCUGGCCCUAAUACAUCACAGGGGUUUCCUGGCAGGGGCCGGUGACAUGCAGGGCUCUUCGUCAUCUUUAUGAUGCCUGUCUCAUCACGCCCUUAUAAGACACUCAUCCAAACUUUACAGAGACUCAUCAUUUAGCUGGCCCAGAAAUCUGUUCGGUCGUCCGUAGGUCACCUUUAAAUGAGCUUCAAAGGACCGAGAAGCAGAAAUGUCGGGCUCGUGUGAAAGUGCUGUUACCAGAGGAGCAGCUUGCAUGUUUUUGGUCUCUCGUAAUUGAAAAAACUAUAAUCUUGUUCCCUUUCUCCUUCGGGGAAAAUCGUUAUUAAGCUCACUGCACAGCUCAGGCCCCAAUGGGAAGAACAGGAGCGGUUGCACAACAAUGAUGUGAGGGAGAAAAUGCCCUCCUUAGACCUCUGGACCACCUGCAGCUCUGCUGAUGACAGAUUCCCUCCACACUGUGGACCAUCAGUGCCAAAGGGAGACUAAUCCUCCUACUUCUAUCCUUUAAGUACAAUAGCCCUGUCACUCGUUUGCUCAUUCAGCAUACCUUCAGUCGCUCUGCCUGUGUGUCAAUACGAAGAAAACCGACAGGAGGCAGACAGUAGGUUCCCACAGCGCUCUAUUCAUAGCUUUCUACUGGAAUCUCUGACCUGUUCAGGCCUGCCUCGGGAAACCUGCCCCUCAUAAUGAAAGCCAUUGAUGCUUCUUCUCAUUACACAUUCACCUUGACAUCUCUGUUACAACCCACGGAGCGUCUCAGCUUAAUCCAGCAGAGCUAUCCACCUUUUACAUGACUAAUAAAUAAACGGUCGUGUGAGAAUGGAAUUUUUCAAAAUUGAAGUUAAUCGGUAGUUCUGCAAGAGAACAGGCUGGGACAUUUGAGGUGUACUGAAACAGCUCCUGGUAAAUCAUUUUCUCUGCUGUUACAAGUUAAGAUUACAACCAAUGGCCUCAUUAAUGAUUCAUCUGCGGCAUUAACCUUUUGUUGCUCUAUUUACUUGCAGACUUAAGAGGUUUCAUCCUCCCUGCACAAGAGAUAAUUAAAGAUUCAUGCGAUUAAACAAAAGGGUUGCAGUUACUGUAAUGCAAAUAUACAAAAAGGAGAGUGAAAUAUCAGGCAGAACUAAUAUGACGAGUUUUCCUGGUGCUUGUAAGCCUGUGUGAGUGUCAGCCCUCGGUGACCCCCUGUGGUUUAAACGCAGACUGAGCCAAUAAUGUCUGUGUAGACUUUUCACAAAUGAAAACAAGCCGUUUUUGUGGUCGGUAGAGGACAUUUCUAAACCUGAAUGUCUCCCAACCACUGCAUACUACUGAACUAUCUCCUUUUGGUAUCUGCAGAGUACAUUUAGAGAUUUUAAUGUUACAAAAUGGGAAGGGAUGGGGCUCAGGGACCUUUUGUUAUCGGUGAAUUAAAAGAUAUAUAUUUUUUCUCUUGUAGUCAAUUUAUGCUGCAGCCUUGACCCCGUCAGCACAGUUUAAGUAAUUCAACCCGAAGUUUAAAAGAGAGUUGCAAAAAUAUCUAUUUUUACAUUUUAUAAACUGGAAGUAACAAUACAGCAGUCUGUUUUGGUCCUUUUUCUGCAUGAGCACCAUUAACAGCAGGUCACAAAGAGGGCUUUCAGCUCCAAACACAAUUAAGUGGAGCACUUUUCCUGCACCUCAGUUACGUCAGGACCACACGAUGACAGAUGAGUCUCUUCAUGUCUUACAAGCUGGACAUGAAGGGAGGUCUGCCAGAACCUAUUCUGCACUGAUCUGAGCUCCUUUUUAUUUAUCACAUUCAAAACACAAGUCUGCUGCUUUCAUCCUUUUUUUUUUUAUGUGCUGCCUCGUGUGCUCACUUUUAUCACGUUACUGUGGCGCUCUGUUUCCACACAACAAAGCUUUACUCUUCCUAAAAGGUCCUUUGAUGUGAAAGAUUAAUGUAAAAAGGUAUUACACACUAAAUGUAUGCAAUGAAAGAAAGCUGAGAAACUGACAUCCAAGACCAAUUCUGCAGCUUUGGCUGCACUGCCCCCUUGUGUCAGUAAGAGGAAUUACAUGUGGAAUGUGUUAACGUUACGUGCGUCAUCAGUUUCUUCAGAGAUGAAUAGUCUCUUUAAAGCAACAUAGUUGCCAAAGCUCCAGAUAAAAACAAAAAAAGGAAAAAAAAAAAUUUUCUCGACUAAUUUACUGUUAGGACCUAUUAAUCAUAGGAUUUAUUGCUUCAGAUCUCUUGGGUUGAAAGUAACAAUGUACCACAGGUGAAAUGUGUUGAUUUUUAUUCAAAAGUUACUGUCUCCAGACAAGUACAAAUCAGAAAAACAGUGACUGAAAGAGGAUGGGAUAACAGACACCAACUUAAGUGUAGGCAAGAGUGCAAGGAAGGAAAAAAAAAUAAAAAUCAGAAAUGGCCAAAAAAUAAAAGGAAGAAAUUAAAUUUUGUAUAGAUAUAUACACACACACAUGAUCUAAUAGGAAUUUAUACCGAUGUAGUGGUAAGUAAACAAUAAACGGUACUUUUUUUUUUCCUUUUUUUUACUUACAUAAAAUAAUUAGGCAAAACACAUAUAGGCCGUUUAUUUACUAUGUCACAUUAUAUCUGACCUCCUCUUAUUUUAUGCUCUAAGAAGCCAAUUAUCCACCUCUGACAUGGAAGAUUGUGUGAAAAAGAUGAACUCCACAAGCAUGUUUAAGGCUUAAGCAUGGAAUGACUAGAAAAGAAAAAGAAAAACCUCAGUAGACAAAACAUUUGAAAAGAAAAAAAACAUGACAAUUCUGUCAAAACCUAAGCUUUGUCUAGCUGCCACAGAGCUGCUGAAUAACUUUCAUUUUUCAGUACUGUCUGAAUGACUACCAUACAUUUUUGAACAAUUGAAAUCAAUAAUUUGUGACAGGACUUUCCAUACGGAGAAAAAACCUUAAAGCUGAAUUUCACAAGUCUUUUCAUUAGUUUUAUCCAAACUAAUUUACAUGUAGGAAAAAAGGUUAAAAAGACAUUAUCAAGACAAAAAAAAA
Oryzias latipes (Japanese medaka) is the source of this 3671-nucleotide non-coding RNA. Lineage: Eukaryota; Metazoa; Chordata; Actinopteri; Beloniformes; Adrianichthyidae. The record is from RefSeq and is a predicted model, not a curated record.